CCUGUUCCCAUGCCGAACACAGAAGUUAAGCUCUUUAGCGCCGAUGGUAGUCGGACUUACGUUCCGCGAGAGUAGGACGUUGCCAGGC
Molecule: ribosomal RNA, 88 nt
Filed under: Staphylococcus pseudintermedius
Lineage: Bacteria; Bacillati; Bacillota; Bacilli; Caryophanales; Staphylococcaceae
Source: RNAcentral